AUGGGGUCCGCGGCGUCGACCGACAGGGCCGAGCGGCGGAGGCGGGACCGGGCGCCGGGGCACAGCGGGGCCCCCGACCCCCUGGCGGCGCUUCCCCAGGAUCCUUCGGUGCGAGCGUCGGCAUCGGAGGCGGAUGUGAGCAGAAACGGGCGUAAGGUGGCGCCAGAGCCCAAGGAUGAGGAAGACACGGAGCCGCUGCCGGGAUCUCCCAGCUUCCGGAUCUACUGCCAGAAGGCGGCCCGGGUCGACGCUCUGGUGGCCGAGGCCGCCGAUGAAAACGCGGACGGCGACCUCGGCGCCGAUGAAAACGCGGAUGGAGACCACGGCGACGAAUUCGCCAGUGCUACCACGUAUACGACUCUGGCGGUCAGGAAGAACGACCCUCCACAAUGCUCCGGCGAGGUAGGCAUCUCAGCAAACUCAGCAUUAGCAAAUGCACCAAUGGCUUACUCUGCUACUCUGAAUCCCUCUGACACGCAACGCAGUUGCCCAAAUGCAAGGAUGGGUGGCUGA
This 513-nucleotide ribosomal RNA is filed under the name Triticum aestivum (bread wheat). RNAcentral describes it as "partial small subunit ribosomal RNA". The record is from RNAcentral. Lineage: Eukaryota; Viridiplantae; Streptophyta; Magnoliopsida; Poales; Poaceae.